CUGACACUGUAGUGCCCUGAGGUAACCCCCACCCUCAGGAUCCCCCUCCCAUGGCACUGAAGAGGUUAAAACCACUUCAGCAGCUUACCUUAUUCCAGCACCGGGCUCCCUCGGCGCUGGUGACCUCUCCUCCCCAGCCGACGUCAGCUCCCUCUGCCGACAUCAGCAGAGCCGCAUGCAUUCAAAGUGUCCCUAGGAAAGCAUUUGUCAAUGCUUUCCUAUGGAUGCUCUGCAUGAUGGAGGCAUAAUAUGCCUCCAGCGUCGCAGAUGCGCCUCUAGGGGCUGGCUUAACCCCAAAUGUAAACAUAG
Pelobates cultripes (western spadefoot toad) is the source of this 309-nucleotide non-coding RNA. NCBI's taxonomy places the organism in Eukaryota, Metazoa, Chordata, Amphibia, Anura, Pelobatidae. The record is from the annotation of a GenBank genome assembly.